GACGAACGCUGGCGGCGUGCUUAACACAUGCAAGUCGAGCGACGCUCUUCCUUCGGGGAGCUGACGGAGCGGCGAACGGGUGAGUAACACGUGGGCAACCUGCCCCUAGCUCUGGGACAACACCGGGAAACCGGUGCUAAUACCGGAUACGACAUCGAGCGGCAUCUCUCGAUGUGGAAAGUUUUUUCGGCUAGGGAUGGGCCCGCGGCCUAUCAGCUUGUUGGUGGGGUAAUGGCCCACCGAGGCGACGACGGGUAGCCGGCCUGAGAGGGCGACCGGCCACACUGGGACUGAGACACGGCCCAGACUCCUACGGGAGGCAGCAGUGGGGAAUAUUGCGCAAUGGGCGAAAGCCUGACGCAGCGACGCCGCGUGAGGGAUGACGGCCUUCGGGUUGUAAACCUCUUUCAGCAGGGACGAAUUCAGACGGUACCUGCAGAAGAAGCACCGGCCAACUACGUG
Molecule: ribosomal RNA, 462 nt
Filed under: uncultured bacterium
Lineage: Bacteria
Description: partial 16S ribosomal RNA
Rfam family: Bacterial small subunit ribosomal RNA
Source: RNAcentral